GCAUUGUGGGUGGCGAGCGGACGGUUUGGAUUCCCGCUCGCGGCCACCGCCGGCGGCUCGCUGGCUGGGCCUCCUCUAGGUCGACUCAGCCCGAACAAGGCGAGCACCUUGCACGCUGUGGACGCAGCAGCAGCAGCAGUGGCGGUGGUGGGGGGGGCAGAGGAGGCGCCUGCUGAGUUCACGGCCCUGCUGCUGCUGCUGAUGAUGAGGAGAGGCACUGCCAGAUUGUGGCUGAUGGGAUGAGUUACAUUUAGUUGUUUGUGUUUCUGGAGGGGCGGAUUUGUUGUCGUGGCAGAAAUGGCCUCCACUUAGAGGCCGCGAUGUGGAGUGUUUGGUCUACUCUUCCACGCUGGGCGUGCCCGCACUUUACCCCGAUACACAUGCGGGGCGUGAGCUCACUAGGCUUGCAAUGCAGAGGUGCAGGAGGUCGUGGGUUCGAUCCCUACCCUCACAUCUGCUAUAUAUUUAGAGUUUGCGUGUCUCCCUCUCUCCCCGUGGUCGCGUUCAGAGUGUUUGGUUUCUAUAAAUGUCGACGUGAUGAUAGGCCACUUCGUUGACCUAUCAUUUGUGGCAUUUUCCCUUUUGAAGAAGAGCUGUGUAGCUCGUUGGGCAUUACCUGGAAAAAUUUAAAUAGUUUAGUUUCCUCUUUUCCUCCUCCCUUCCUCCCUCUCCACACCCAUCCCCCCCAGCACAACAACAAGAAGCAGGAGGAGGAUGGUUUGUCUCCCAAGCCGAGCGCUUCCGGGUCCACCUUCAUGAUCCUCCCUCUGCCCCGGCGGGGGGGGGGGGGAGAUCCCCUCGCACAGGGUUAUGCUGCUACUUCCGUUGAGGCCGGGGCGAGUGGAGGCGGCGCUGUGCAUUGUGGGUGGCGAGAGGCUGAUUUGGAUUCCCGCUCACGGCCACCGUCGGUGGCUCGUGGCGGCUCGCUGGCUGGGCCUCCUCUACGUCGACUCAGCCAGAAGAAGGUGGUGCAGGUUCAGGAGUUUACUGGCUGCACUCCGACCUUUGGCCUUGGCUGUCGCCCAAGUGGGAUUGUCGCACAGCAGUCAACCCAUAGCAUCAGUAUCUGUCCCAUGAUCUCCUCCUGCACCUAGCCUGGCACAGCAGUCAACCCAUGACACCUGACUCUAUCCCGUGACCUCCUCCUGCACCUAGCCUGGCACAGCAGUCAACCCAUGGCACCUGGGUUGUUGUGAUAUCACCAUCAUGUAGUUGCAAAUUACGGCUGUUGUCGUUGUGAGUUUGUAGGUUUUUGUGUGAGUAAUGGUGCGUGUGUGACUUUCAUGACGUGUGUGAGAGUAGGUUGGUAGGGGUGUGUAUCAUGGUGAGUGUGUGGGUGUGCGAGUAUUAUGGUGAGUGUGUGGUUGUGUUAGAUGGCUGGCAAUGUUGAUGGGUGGUGAUGAUGCAAGGCUUGUGCUCGAGAAUGGCACACUGAAACUAAUAGUGGAGCAGAUUGACAGUGGAGCAGAGCGCAGUGGAGACGUGGGGCAAUAGAGCAGAGGAGCAAUGGAGCAAUGAGGCAGUGGAGCAAAGGAGCAGUGGGGCAUUGGAGCAGUGGAUCAGUGGGGCAGAUUAGGGGUUGAUUUGUCGUGAAGAAGGCGAAUCACCUGAAUAUGUGCUCUGAAGAAGAACCAUUUCCCAAAACGUUUCUUUUUAUCUAUUUGUCCUCGUCCCGCCGCACACACAGCCGGGACACCGCACACACAGCCGGGACACCGCACACACGAGCCAAGGCACAUUAAACCAACCCAGGCAGCACUCGCAAGCAAUGCAACGUUACGUUGUGUCCUCAUGAGUUCAAUUUCACAAAGUUUAUAGUAACAACAACAACAAAAAUAUUGAUCCUAAUUCUUAACCGGGUGGCCUUAAGACUUAGCACGUGCAGGUGUUGUUCAUUGUCUGCACCAGACCC
Long non-coding RNA from Lethenteron reissneri (Far Eastern brook lamprey), 1912 nucleotides. RefSeq lists it as uncharacterized. The record is from RefSeq and is a predicted model, not a curated record. Lineage: Eukaryota; Metazoa; Chordata; Hyperoartia; Petromyzontiformes; Petromyzontidae.